GCAGGAGGAUUCUUAACCACUGCACCACCAGCGAAGUCCAUGGGUGGACUCCUUGAUGGACCCUGAGAGUCCACUUUUGGCUGAAGGCUUUUCCACACCGUUCUUAAGCCUUCUUCACAGAAUAAAUACGCUGAUGGACCGUGACAUGGGGCCGAUGCCUGAAGGCUUUUCUGCACUCGCCACACGUGCAAGGCUUUCCCCAGAGUGACUACUCAGAAGAACCAAGUGUUGGGAGCUUUUGUACCCAUGGGGCUUCUCUCCGGUGUGAACUCUGCAGUGAACAGAGGGGACGGUCACAGCACUAGACUCGAAGAAUUCCCCAUACUCGCUGCGAGUGUGGGGUUUCCCUCUGGCGUGAGCGCCCUUAUGUAUGAGAACAUGUGUCUGUUUCUCAGCGCUUUCUCACACACUUUACAUCUAUGAGAUUCUUUGCCAGUGGAAGUCCUCCGGGCUGCAGGAACAGACACUCUCUACCUGGAGCGUCGGACCCCACAGGUCAAGGGCUCGGUCCCAGAAGACCGCCCCCACUUCUGACAACAAUCUCAAGUCCAGGUUGUCUGUCAUCUGGUUGUCUGACUGACCAGCUUUAAACCAGAGGUUCCCACGACCCCCUCUCAGGUUGGGUUAAUUUGCUAGAGUGGUUCUCUCAGAACUCAGGAAAGUGUACUCACUCCGGCCAGUUUAUGACAAAGGAUAUUAAAGGAUACGAGUAAACAGCCAGAUGAAGAGCGCUUCUGCCCUGUGUGGACCUAGGCUGUGCCACCCUCCUGGCAUGUGGGCACAUUUUUUUUUUUUUUUAAUUAAUUAAUUUAUUUAUUUUUGGCUGCCUUGGGUCUUUGUUCC
Long non-coding RNA from Aethalodelphis obliquidens (Pacific white-sided dolphin), 843 nucleotides. RefSeq lists it as uncharacterized. Lineage: Eukaryota; Metazoa; Chordata; Mammalia; Artiodactyla; Delphinidae. The transcript has 3 exons. The record is from RefSeq and is a predicted model, not a curated record.